This 497-nucleotide ribosomal RNA is filed under the name uncultured bacterium. Its description in RNAcentral is "partial 16S ribosomal RNA". It matches the Rfam family "Bacterial small subunit ribosomal RNA", at positions 28 to 507 of the family's 1533-position model. The record is from RNAcentral.
GAUGAACGCUGGCGGCGUGCCUAAUACAUGCAAGUCGAGCGAACAGACGGGGAGCUUGCUCCUCUGACGUUAGCGGCGGACGGGUGAGUAACACGUGGAUAACCUACCUAUAAGACUGGGAUAACUUCGGGAAACCGGAGCUAAUACCGGAUAAUAUAUUGAACCGCAUGGUUCAAUAGUGAAAGACGGUUUUGCUGUCACUUAUAGAUGGAUCCGCGCCGCAUUAGCUAGUUGGUAAGGUAACGGCUUACCAAGGCAACGAUGCGUAGCCGACCUGAGAGGGUGAUCGGCCACACUGGAACUGAGACACGGUCCAGACUCCUACGGGAGGCAGCAGUAGGGAAUCUUCCGCAAUGGGCGAAAGCCUGACGGAGCAACGCCGAGUGAGUGAUGAAGGUCUUCGGAUCGUAAAACUCUGUUAUUAGGGAAGAACAAAUGUGUAAGUAACUAUGCACAUCUUGACGGUACCUAAUCAGAAAGCCACGGCUAACUACGUG